CAGUAGGGAAUCUUCGGCAAUGGACGAAAGUCUGACCGAGCAACGCCGCGUGAGUGAAGAAGGUUUUCGGAUCGUAAAACUCUGUUGGUAGAGAAGAACGUUGGUGAGAGUGGAAAGCUCAUCAGGUGACGGUAACUACCCAGAAAGGGACGGCUAACUACGUGCCAG
RNAcentral lists this ribosomal RNA (168 nucleotides) under uncultured bacterium. RNAcentral describes it as "partial 16S ribosomal RNA". It matches the Rfam family "Bacterial small subunit ribosomal RNA", at positions 352 to 511 of the family's 1533-position model. The record is from RNAcentral.